RNAcentral lists this ribosomal RNA (498 nucleotides) under uncultured bacterium. Its description in RNAcentral is "partial 16S ribosomal RNA". It matches the Rfam family "Bacterial small subunit ribosomal RNA", at positions 29 to 523 of the family's 1533-position model. The record is from RNAcentral.
AUUGAACGCUGGCGGCAUGCCUUACACAUGCAAGUCGAACGGUAACGCGGGGCAACCUGGCGACGAGUGGCGAACGGGUGAGUAAUAUAUCGGAACGUGCCCAGUAGUGGGGGAUAGCCCGGCGAAAGCCGGAUUAAUACCGCAUACGACCUACGGGUGAAAGCGGGGGAUCGCAAGACCUCGCGCUAUUGGAGCGGCCGAUAUCAGAUUAGCUAGUUGGUGGGGGAAAAGCCUACCAAGGCGACGAUCUGUAGCUGGUCUGAGAGGACGACCAGCCACACUGGGACUGAGACACGGCCCAGACUCCUACGGGAGGCAGCAGUGGGGAAUUUUGGACAAUGGGCGCAAGCCUGAUCCAGCCAUGCCGCGUGUGGGAAGAAGGCCUUCGGGUUGUAAACCACUUUUGUCAGGGAAGAAACGGUCUGGUCUAAUAAACCGGACUAAUGACGGUACCUGAAGAAUAAGCACCGGCUAACUACGUGCCAGCCGCCGCGGUAA